This 30-nucleotide non-coding RNA is filed under the name Rattus norvegicus (Norway rat). The record is from RNAcentral. Lineage: Eukaryota; Metazoa; Chordata; Mammalia; Rodentia; Muridae.
UAGAAUCUUUAUCUUUUCCUCCCAGACCAA